Molecule: ribosomal RNA, 390 nt
Filed under: uncultured bacterium
Lineage: Bacteria
Description: bacterial SSU rRNA
Rfam family: Bacterial small subunit ribosomal RNA
Source: RNAcentral
GACGAACGCUGGCGGCGUGCUUAACACAUGCAAGUCGAGCGGUAAGGCCCUUUCGGGGGUACACGAGCGGCGAACGGGUGAGUAACACGUGGGUGACCUGCCCUCAGCUCUGGGAUAAGCCUGGGAAACCGGGUCUAAUACCGGAUAUGACUCCAUGACGCAUGUUGUGGGGUGGAAAGCCUUGUGCGGCUGAGGAUGGGCCCGCGGCCUAUCAGCUUGUUGGUGGGGUGAUGGCCACCAAGGCGACGACGGGUAGCCGGCCUGAGAGGGCGACCGGCCACACUGGGACUGAGACACGGCCCGGACUCCUACGGGAGGCAGCAGUGGGGAAUCUUGCGCAAUGGGCGAAAGCCUGACGCAGCGACGCCGCGUGAGGGAUGACGGCCUCGG